Molecule: ribosomal RNA, 449 nt
Filed under: uncultured bacterium
Lineage: Bacteria
Description: partial 16S ribosomal RNA
Rfam family: Bacterial small subunit ribosomal RNA
Source: RNAcentral
AACGAACGCUGGCGGCAUGCCUAACACAUGCAAAUCGAACGAGAUCUUCGGGUCUAGUGGCGCACGGGUGCGUAACGCGUGGGAAUCUGCCCUUUGGUUCGGAACAACAGUUGGAAACGACUGCUAAUACCGGAUGAUGACGAAAGUCCAAAGAUUUAUCGCCAGAGGAUGAGCCCGCGUAGGAUUAGCUAGUUGGUGUGGUAAAGGCGCACCAAGGCGACGAUCCUUAGCUGGUCUGAGAGGAUGAUCAGCCACACUGGGACUGAGACACGGCCCAGACUCCUACGGGAGGCAGCAGUGGGGAAUAUUGGACAAUGGGCGAAAGCCUGAUCCAGCAAUGCCGCGUGAGUGAUGAAGGCCUUAGGGUUGUAAAGCUCUUUUACCCGGGAUGAUAAUGACAGUACCGGGAGAAUAAGCUCCGGCUAACUCCGUGCCAGCAGCCGCCGUAA